UUGAAAGAAAUCUCAGGCAAGGGGGAAGGUGGUUGUAGCUGGCCUUCAGGGGCAUGUGCACACUGUCUCUCUUUUGUUUGUUUCUUCAUUUUCUCCACUUGUGCACUGCUUGUAGGCAGCCUGGCAUUGUUCAGGUUGUCUAUGAUUUCUUUACAUACAUGAAACAAUGAAGUACAGAAUGUAAUAAAAAAGUUAAUA
RNAcentral lists this unclassified non-coding RNA (198 nucleotides) under uncultured Amanita. RNAcentral's name for it is "sequence contains ITS1". The record is from RNAcentral. Lineage: Eukaryota; Fungi; Basidiomycota; Agaricomycetes; Agaricales; Amanitaceae.